CCAUUAAGAAGCUAUGCAACAGCACUAGCCUUUUAAGCUAGAGAAAGAGGAUCUACACCUCNUUAAUGAA
This 70-nucleotide transfer RNA is filed under the name Zosterops semperi (Caroline white-eye). Its description in RNAcentral is "tRNA-Lys". It matches the Rfam family "tRNA". From Rfam's summary of the family: Transfer RNA (tRNA) molecules are approximately 80 nucleotides in length. The record is from RNAcentral. Lineage: Eukaryota; Metazoa; Chordata; Aves; Passeriformes; Zosteropidae.